CAAAAUGUCAAACAAGAAUUUUCCUCUUACGCAUGCCUAUAAAAAAUACCAACCGGUAGUCCUUAUCUAUCUCUCCCUCUCCUUUUCCUUUCCCCUUUUCUAUUUGAGAGUUCCAUCUACUUUAUAGUCUUUUUUGGUUCCAUUGUACCGAUUAUGUUUUCAUAUUUGAUUCGUUGGCUUUUGGGUAUAACGGGGGCUUGAUCUGUAAAACUUUGCUUCUGGGACGUAUUGGCUAAUUCUCAGGUCGAAUUCCUAUUUCCAGGUUUUAACAAUUCACAUAUUGGAUAUUCUCGUGUUGAAUUCAUCUUUCUAGGCAUUAACAAUCGCUCUCUACGAUCAAUUAUUGAUUCUCCCCGUCCCCUUCAAUGAUUAUUUGUGCUUUUUUCUUCAACGAUUUGUGCUUCUUUCUUCAACUGCUCUUUUUAAAUUUGUUUAGUUAUUUUGGUGAAACACUUCACUUAUUCAUAAUUCGUUAUUCCCUAUUGUGUUCUGAUAUCACUCUUGCAACUUCUAAUGGUCCAUUUACACUUGAGGUACUAGAUAUUUGUACUUCCUUUAUUUUUAUAAUUGUGUAUUCAGGGUUUUCAGGUAAUGAGGGGAAAAAUUGAAAUCCGUGCUUUAAAAGUAGAUGCAUUAAAAACAUGCUUCAAUCCAUUGUAUCCUUGAUGCCCUGAUGCUUUGUCCACAUAAUUGAAAGAAACAUAUGUUGUGCCACUGGAUAAUGCAAAAGAAAAGAUGAUUUACCUAUCUGUUACCAGUUAAAAUAUGCUAAGAUAACAAAUAAAGAACAAGUGAAAUAGUGUCCAUGCAAGUUUUUCUCUGUCUAAAAUUAGACUCAUCUACAAUUGUGGGUGUUUGGUGGUAGUAUAUCAUCAUUUAGGUAUAGUCAUUAAAUUCCCGUAGUAUUUUUCCUUGAAAUUGUACUUAAUAUUGGCUUUCCUUUGCUGCAGAUUUUAUAUCUCAAAUAUGAUUCAUGUUUUCUUUUCCGUUGGCACCUGAUGUACGUGCUUCUCUAUUAUGUUUUGGCUCAAUUGAUUGAAACUCCUGUUUUCCAGGUUGUUAAAGUCUUAUUUUGUGGUGGAAAACCUGUUUGUAAUGAGGAUAAAAAUACAAACUUUUAGAGUAGAUGCAUUGCAAGUAUGUACCAAUAACUUGCCGUGAUUUCAUAGAGCUUGCUUCGAUAUGGUAUUAUGAUAAUAUCAAAUUUCACAUAGUCAUCAAGCUUUCUUUUUCUUUAUCUUUCUCUUUUGUUGUUUAUUUUGAGAUUACUUCGGGUUCGGAUCUUAUUGUAUACUCUUCUUUUUUGUUUAUUUGAUUUGGAUGUUGGAUAUUAUUGUUUGUGUUGGAAUCUGUCUAUGGUAUUUAUAGGCCUAAAUGGCUUUUGUGAUUACUAUUUAUGGUAUUCAGAGGUUUAAAGAGCUGGAAAAGACAUAAGGCCAGUGACGUGUCACCUCUCAUUGCCCAGAUAAUUCAUUUAUCUUUUUUCUCCUUUAUUUGCGUUUUCCAGUCUAUUCUCUCACUUCUAUAUAAUACUACAAAGCACUGCUUAAUCCCUUGCUCCGAACCGUUUCGCCUCCCUUUUUUGAUGAACCGUUUCUUCCCUUAUUUCUAAUGGUAGCCUAUCAGUUACAACCAAACACAACCAAAACCACGCCUCUUCAAUCUUCUAUUCCAUGAAACCCCACAAUUUUAGAUUUCUUCAAACGAUAAUCAGAUGCGACAUAUUUUGGAUCAAUUCAACUCUCACUGGUUUCCAAACGCCGAAUCCUAGGGUGAAAUUACAACCAUUAGUUGGUAAUGUCUUCCUUCAUCCCUUUCCCAUCUAAGUUAUAUUUUUGUAUCAAUAGCUACUUUUAUUUAAUUAUUGUUCCUACUAUCGGAAUUUGAGAUGACUUACGACAAUAAUUUGCGAAUUUUGUGAGGUUUCUAAAAUAAUGUUAGCUUUCUUAAUGGUAAUUAUUUUAUUGAUAACACUCAUUCACACCCAAUAUUUACACCAACUCAAUUGGUUUAUAAUAUGUUUCUUUACAUAAUCUUUUAGCACUUAUUUAUAGUCAAUCAAUAUGAAUUUGGAUAUUGAAAGUAGACAGACAUAUAUUAAUUUGGGGAUUCUUUAAUUUUCUGAUCUUUUUUUCUUUCUUUAAUUUCGUGUUAUAAUGAUACGGUGUUGAUUUGUUCCGUACUUUCACAACAGUGGCAGCAAGGUAGUACCGGUGGUAGUAACAGUCGCUCUGCCCCUACUCCUUCCAUUGAGGUUUACCAUCUUUUCGUUUUAGUGAUUGCAUAAAAGCUUAUACAUAUGCAGGUUUUACUUUCCCUGAAUUGAUCGGUUGUUAUAUUUUUUUCUCUUGAAUUGUGUAAGGGUAACAAAUCUGCUACAACGUGAUAUAUCGCCUCCCAUAAAACAUUGGUGUUAUUGCCAGAGGAUCAAGGUGCACUGGCUGUCCCAGUUGUUAUUAUAUCACAUUAAUUAUUUACGAUACCUAUAAGACAUAAUCUUUUUAGGUUGUUUUAACUUUUGAGCUGCUUAAUUUUGGAAUUGUGAUUCAAAAGCGUUUAACUUUAUUGAAAGCGGAUAUUUGACAAUUUCUUAUUUAUUUCUUGACCAUUGAUGUGUUAUUUGUAUAUACGAAUUUGAGAAUCAAACAGGAAUACAUUAUGUGCUUAUCUGCCCUCUUUUCAAGUCUUUCCAAUUAUCAGUAUAAUGCCAGCAGAAUGAUACAAAAUAUCCAUUUAGUUUCUGCAGAAGGAGAGCUGCAUAUGGCGCCGUUUUGUUUUUAUCUGGCAGGUGAAGUUUUUGCUUGCAUUUCCUAACUUUUCUUUUCCUUUCUGAUGUCGCUAUUCACUGAAUUGUUCUCAACUUUUGUCACAACGGCAUCGAAUUAUGAUGGCAUUUAAGACUGAGCCUAAAUGGAAUGAGUUAAUAAUUUCAUUGUUGUGACGAUGGUUGCUCAUGAAAUGUCUAAAUUCCAUUAGGCUUUAGCUGUGGGUGAUUUACACCAUUUAUGAUGAAAGCAUUUGCCUUUUCUUUUGCUUUUAGGUGUAUCUAUAAAGGUGAAAAUAGGUCAGAGGAGCUAGAAAAUGCUUCAGCCUCUAGAAAAUAUUGAUAAGACCUUUGAGAAACUCGAAAUGAUAUGCCAUUCCUUUCAGGUACUGAUAUUCUUAAAUUGGUAGUACUAUUUAUUAGGUUAUCGUCUUGAUUAUAUAUUUGGCUCUAUCACAUUGGUUUUUUCCUUUCCUUGCAAAGCAUUCCUUUUCAUUUUUUAUUGGUUUUCAUUUUCCUAAUUCCAGUUAUGUACUUUGUUACCAGUACUUUUUCCCAGACUGACACCUCCUGAAUUAAGCUACCCUUGGCACAUCAAGUAUAAAUCUCAACUUCCAAAGCUUUGGCUGUAAACUGUUUUUGUUUUUGGAUAAAAGACAUAAGAAAAUGAAUCUUGAUUUCGAGUUUUCACAAUCAGUAAGUUGGUUUUAUUUCCCUUUAAGAAUUCAACUUCCAUAUUAUUCAUUUGACGCAAAGCUUAUUGAGUUUACAUAAAGAAGUUUUUGUUCCUCUCUCGAGGUUCGAUUAUAAUUUUGCUUUAUGUUAGAAUCUCUUGAUUCUAUUUUUAAUACUUGCAUUCCUUAAAUUUAUAAUUGAAAAUGAAAACCUCAAUGCAAAUAUUUUUGGCUUCUUUGGAGUUCUAUGAAAGUUUUCACUCUAAAGGUUAGGCUUUUAUCCCUUGAAGUUCUCCCUCUAUUAGUACUUUGGUUGCUUUGUUAUUUCAGUAUUUACCUUCCUGAUAUUGGUUUUAUUUUAGAAUGUGGGAUAGCUGGAUCGAUCUCCCUUCCGUUCAGCUUAUCCCUUUCAAGAGCAAUAAUAUGAUUUGAUUCCUUUUCCCUAUUGCGCUUUUAGUCUCUCAGAAAAAAUAAUCUUCUAUAUAUAUAUAUAUAUAUAUAUAUGAAGGCAGGACAUAGGCCGUCUGAUGUGGCAUGCCUCAAUGACCAGGAAACCUAUUCAUCUAAUUUCUCAAAUUUUCACACAACAAUCUCAAUUAUUAAUUACUUAACUCGCCACAAAAAUGUAACGAAUCCCCAAAGCCACGUCUAUUCUCUAUAACCCUUUCAGAACAAAAUUCUGGCGGCUUCAAUUAUAGAGAACAAAUCGAGACUCUACAAAAAACAACGGAAUGUCGAUAACGGCAUGCCGAAUGCGGAGAACUUUUUAUUGAGGUUCAGAAGGAGGAAAACGCCACAUUGGCGGAUGCUCAGGGUAUUAUAUCCUCAUGACCUUAAGAUUCUCAAUAAUUUUCCAGCCGAGAAGUCUUCAUCUUGAUGCAUCCUUCAAGUAUCCUUCUGCUGAUAUCAUUCCUCUUCUUAAUCCUAAAUGUGGGGUAAGAUACUGCUGCUGGUUUUUUCCUACUUCAUUUUUUGCAUGCUUUUUGGAGUAACUAUCAGUUAACUCUUCUUUCUUUAUGUAUUAGAAUUCCCUUCUUUGGUGAAUUUACUUGCCAGAAUGGCAGAGCGUAGGUAUCCAAAAUGCAUCUUUAAAUUUGAGAAAUUUUUCAUUAGAACUAUAUGAUUUUAAUCACUUUGAUUGAUUUUAAGUUAGUUGCUAUACUUGCCUCUAUUUUGAAUUUUUCCUCUGCCAAAGAAUGAAUCAAGAUGGCCAUGUUAAGUUCUACGCCAUAGGACAAUGGUGGAAUGCAGAUGUAUUCCAUGUGUGAGGGUAUUCUUUAUAUUCAACUUUCCUGUAUCUUUAUAUUCUUGAUUUCCUGCUUGAUUUUAGGUAACUUGCAGAAUCAAAAUUGUAUCUUUUGGUUAAUUUGUCACUCAUUUAUGACAUUCAAUUACUCUUGAACGGAAUAUAGAUAAAAAGUGUAAUCCAACUCCAUAUUCCCCGCCGUGUUUCUGCAAAUUAGUGAUUUUGAUAAGGCAGCAAUUAAAACUAGCGGAAGGGAGGCUGCUACCAACUUUGAACCAAGUGCAUAUGAAGGGGAAACAAUCUCUGAACCUCAAGAGUGAAGGUUUGAUAAAAAGUUCUUGCUCAUUUUCAAACUAAUGUCGCUAAUUCCAAGCAACAGUGCAUUAUCUAUAUCUGGAUCUGUCUCAUUUACGAUGCUUAUGACACAAAUAGCCAACAUGAUCGUGAUUUGAACUUGGGGAUAUCAAUCUCUUCUUCAAAGGAAAAUGACAGUAUCAUGAAGCGUUCGAACUAAUUAAGAGUUUCAUUUUUAAACUUACUCUGAGGAGGCGAGGGUGGCGUCCACUUGGAGACAAAGCAUCAAAGGCUGGAGAAGAGUACAAAGUAAUUAAUUUAAUCUUCACAAGACUGAGGUUGUAGCAAAUGAUAAGAUGAAAUAAUAAGAUGAAAUGAACAUAGUUCAUAGGGGCAAACGCCGGAGUCAAUAACACUGUUAGUACGUAGUUGUGUGGUGUUAGUACGAUGUUUUGUUUUCGACCUUCAUUUGUUUUCUACAGGCUGGAGAAGAGAAUAAAAUCUCUUUCACUUCUUUUGAA
Molecule: long non-coding RNA, 5499 nt
Organism: Lycium barbarum (goji berry)
Lineage: Eukaryota; Viridiplantae; Streptophyta; Magnoliopsida; Solanales; Solanaceae
Exons: 2
Source: RefSeq, a predicted model, not a curated record